Molecule: long non-coding RNA, 2772 nt
Filed under: Hordeum vulgare
Lineage: Eukaryota; Viridiplantae; Streptophyta; Magnoliopsida; Poales; Poaceae
Description: long non-coding RNA (HVUL_LNC011347)
Source: RNAcentral
UGAAGCAAUCCUACUUUCUCUCAAUCUCCCAGGUAUGUACGUCUCCAUCUCUUCCUUUAACACUAACAAACGACCUGAAGUAAUCCUAUUCUCUGCCCCGCAGCAAAUCUCUCACGCUCUCAUGUCUCUCUUCAUGUUCUGAUGGGAAAGAGAUCCAUGUCUUUCUCAUAUUGGAGGAAGGAAGUUGGAGAUGGACCCCUCUCUCAAUCUCACGUCUCUCUCCUCAAACUCUCUUCUCUCUCUACCUCUCCACAUGGAAAUAGAUCCGUGCCUCUCCCAAAUUGCAAGAAGGAAGUGGGGCAUGAAUCUGCUGCACUGACGGAGCUAAUCACAUUUUUUUUAUCCAUAUCAGGUUUGACUUCUCACACUCAUUUGUUUUUAGUUUGUUUUUGCCAAUUUGUCCACAUGGAAAUAGAUCCGUUCCUCUCUCAAAUUGCAAGAAUGAAGUGGGGCAUGGAUCUGCUGCGCUGACGGAGCUAAUCACAUUAAAAUAUUUUUUUCAUCCAGAUCAGGUUUGUGUUCUCACACUGAUUUAUUUUUUAGUUUGUUUUUGCCAAUUUGGAUUCAAAUUUUUUCAUCGCCCCCUUUGAUCGUGCUAUUAGCGAUUCAGUUUUCUUUUAUUAUGCGGUUGCUUGAAGCAGAUGACAUCGAUGUCAAAACAAAAUCAGUAAUCUAUAUCCCUCCAAAAACAAGAUAUAGAUCUUCAUGUAGCGUAGAGGAGAAAAACAUGUACCAUAUAUGUAGAAAAAGAGACUGUCCAAUGUCAAUACUUCAUGUACGGGUGGAACACUAUUUCCUGUUCUUAACUUAUUAACCCUAACUCAAUCAACGACUCCCUGCUAUGAUUCAGCUUCCCCUCAUAGUUCUGUCAAUCCCUCAACCAAUAGAGGCAGGGUGUGAGGGAUAUGGAGGACAAAGCUAUACUGUGAUUGGUGCAGUCACAUGUGAUGGAUGACGGCUAUGUUGAGCCCCGGAGGGAAGGUACGUAAUCUUGAAGAACAAUGAUCUUGCUAGACAUCGAGCAACAAGACCAAGACCUCGCCACGGUUGAUGACUGCAACAAGGAUAAUUUUGAUCAUGGGCUAGGUUAAACUAAAGGUUUUACGGCUAAGGUAAAUCAACAAUACUAUCUUCCAGAUUUCAUAUUUUUAUUGUCACUAGAUGAAUUUAGGUCUGAUGGGGUCUUCCCGUUUCACAUGUGUGCAUUUAGCUAAAUCGCCAUCCAAUUGCUGCCAUUAAUCACGAAUGGACCUGCAGUCUGAAAGUUCAAGGAUGAUAUGUUUCUAGGGUCAGCAAUAAUUGAAAAAGUUAGUGGUAACAAAGGUAAUACUUGAGAAUUCAUGGAUGAUGUGAUUUCUACUUUCUUAUGAUGCUUUUUUCUCUUUUAUUCUGUUUAGAUCUCAUGAUUUAUUAGUUAUCUUAGUGUCAUGUAAACUACACACUGUUGUAGUACUUGAUUUGGAAACACCAUAAAACAUAUGAUGAACAUGUACAUCUUUGACAAUAUGCGCCAGUGCCUGCAUUUAUUAAUGCUAUAUAUGCACACAUCCAUGUCAGAUCCGGUCAAUAUAAUAUAUAUGUCUUUUACAAUAUAUGUUUCCAAGAGUAAUUUCAAAGUAUAUUUACAUAGUCUUUUUUAUCUCUGUGCAUGGACAAUAUAUAUUAGGACACAUGACACGCUCACUACUGGAAUUCCUUAUUUUGUGGAGUGCCAAACACAAUCGACAAAUGCGGAAAAAAAACUCGGCAUAAUAUUUGCCGAGUGCUGCACUCGAAAACACGACUAUGUUGGGCGCCUGUUGGCAAAUUUAUGUCGUCGGUUUUUCAUUUGUACGGGCACCAAUCGGCACUUACAAAAAUCCUCGCCGGGUGCAGAACAUAGGGACUCGGCAAACAAAUGACAUAGAUGGAAGGACAAGUUACGGCCAUUUUACCGUUUUCCUAAUUGGGCAAAAGUAUGCUCCGGUAGGGCUACCCAGAUGGCACCAUGUGUCAUGUUUGCCGAGAACAAUAUUAGGCAAACAGGUCUUAGACACGACACAGCUAGCCUAAAGAAGGCAACUUUGAUUCUCCAUGUUGGUUGAUUGCUAGCUUGAUGCUAAUAUUUGACGUAUUAACAUUACCUGCAUCGGAUGUUUCUGUAGCGUUCGAGGAUAAGAACAUGGUGUAUAUGGUGCUGAAGGAGCCGUAGGAAUACGCAUCUUGAUGAAAGACAUGGAGAAGAUGAUGUCCAAUGAAGGAAAAUGCAGGGAACUAAAGCAUGAGUAGUUUAGAGUGGUCAAUGCGUGAAUGCAGAUUUAGUUUCAGGAAGAAGUGGAUUCUGAAUAUAACAAGAGGUCAAUGAUGCAAGAACUAGGAUAAGGAGUAAAAUGGUUGCUGGAAGAUAUAUUUGUACAAUAACAGGCACACGCAUGCAGCCGUAAUGUCGACCAAAUUACGUAAGGUAGCAGCCCAAUGAAUUGUACAAAUAUGGAUGCACGCAGGUAGUGAUAGACACUCUAUCAUGUCAGAUCCAGAAUUAAUGUGUGUUGUACAUUAAGUUUUCCAGUCUUUAAAAUGUGUUUUGAUUAGUCCUGAAGCAACCCUUACAUACAUUUGGAGAAGGAUCAGAAAGAAGAGUUUUUCCUUAAUUCUGCAUUAACAUCAUCGUAUGCAAGAUGAGCCAAAUUAAAACUUAUGGCCUUAAUUCCGCAUUACCAUCAUGGUGUGCAAGAUAAGCCAAAUUAAAAGUUACGACCUUAAUUCUCGGCAAGCCUCAAGGUUCAUAAGGUG